CUCCAUAGAUCUAGACUGCUGGAAUGCUUUUAGAUUGAAAGAUUUAUCGCCUAAGGGAUAAGUCUGCGGACUAUCAGGUUGUAGUUAGGGUAAAUACCUGACUAGCGUACCGACGGAUACGGGGUAGUGAGAGCUAUAGCCCGGAGAUGAUAUCUGAGACACGAUAUCAGGCCCUACGGGGCGCAGCAGGCGCGAAAACUUCGCACUGUGCGAAAGCACGACGAGGGAAUCCCAAGUGCUGGCUCGUAAGAGUCAGCUGUUUUUCUGUCUAAAACGCAGGGAGAGUAAGAGCUGGGUAAGACGGGUGCCAGCCGCCGCGGUAAUACCUGCAGCUCAAGUGGUGGCCGCUAUUAUUGGGCCUAAAACGUCCGUAGCCGGUUCUAUAAAUGCCUGGGUAAAUCGUACGGCUUAACCGUACGAAUUCCGGGUAGACUGUUCAACUUGGGACCGGGAGAGGCUAGAGGUACUCCUGGGGUAGAGGUGAAAUUCUGUAAUCCUAGGGGGACCACCAGUGGCGAAGGCGUCUAGCUAGAACGGGUCUGACGGUGAGGGACGAAGCCCUGGGG
This 566-nucleotide ribosomal RNA is filed under the name uncultured euryarchaeote. Its description in RNAcentral is "bacterial SSU rRNA". It matches the Rfam family "Archaeal small subunit ribosomal RNA", at positions 152 to 717 of the family's 1478-position model. Lineage: Archaea; Methanobacteriati; Methanobacteriota. The record is from RNAcentral.